AAAUUGAAGAGUUUGAUCAUGGCUCAGAUUGAACGCUGGCGGCAGGCCUAACACAUGCAAGUCGAACGGUAACAGGAAGCAGCUUGCUGCUUCGCUGACGAGUGGCGGACGGGUGAGUAAUGUCUGGGAAACUGCCUGAUGGAGGGGGAUAACUACUGGAAACGGUGGCUAAUACCGCAUAACGUCGUAAGACCAAAGAGGGGGACCUUCGGGCCUCUUGCCAUCAGAUGUGCCCAGAUGGGAUUAGCUUGUUGGUGGGGUAACGGCUCACCAAGGCGACGAUCCCUAGCUGGUCUGAGAGGAUGACCAGCCACACUGGAACUGAGACACGGUCCAGACUCCUACGGGAGGCAGCAGUGGGGAAUAUUG
RNAcentral lists this ribosomal RNA (369 nucleotides) under Salmonella enterica. Its description in RNAcentral is "bacterial SSU rRNA". It matches the Rfam family "Bacterial small subunit ribosomal RNA", at positions 1 to 366 of the family's 1533-position model. The record is from RNAcentral. Lineage: Bacteria; Pseudomonadati; Pseudomonadota; Gammaproteobacteria; Enterobacterales; Enterobacteriaceae.